AGACUCCACCUGCUCACCUGGAUACGUGUUUUGCUUUCUUUUCAACAACAACACAUGUUUUGCUUUUUUUCCAAAACAGCAACAUGUCUUCUUUUUCUUAAAGCACCAAAACAGCUGGUGCCGGAGCAAGCCAAAAGCCAUCCCUCUAAAUUAGGUUUUCCCUUUCUUCUUCUUCUUCUUCUUAUUACCCUAACCCUAACCUUAGCUAUUCGAAUUCCACUCCUCUUCGCGAAAUCAUGGCGACGACUUUGGUGAGCUCCGCGGGUGGGAUGCUUGCGAUGCUGGACACGCUCUCUCCAACCUCAACAACUUAGUUUUUUAUUAUGGUCUAUUGUCGAUUCUAAAAUCCUAGCUGAUGAAACUGAUGACAACAAUUGAUGUAUAUUGUUUCAGGCUACACCAAAACUCACUGAGGAUAAAGUCAGGCAGUGUGUUGAUACAAGACUAGGAGGAGAAUACCCACCCAAAGCUGUUGCUAAGUAUAAGGUCAGUCUGGCCCCGGGGAGCGGGUGUAUUGAGGUAAAUUUACAGCUCUGCCUCUGCUCCGAAAGAGCAUUCUCCAAUAACGGUUUCACUCCUUCUGUCGCACCGCUGCAGAUAUAAAGAAAGAUUCUUUACCAGCUCUAAGAGAUAUCAGAGAGCGAUGCAUCAAUCAACUUGAGCAAAUGCGAUCUGACCACAUGAGGAGGCUUAACCCAACUCCAUAUAAGGUUAGUGUUAGUGCAAAAUUAUACGACUUCAUUCAUUUCCUGUGGCUCAAUGAGGCACCAGUUGGGGAGCUACAGUAAGGCAAAUAAAAUGGUGGCGUGCCUUCAGAACCCAAUGGGUAUGGCAAAAAAAAAUGUUCAGUUCAGGGGAAAUUUCUCCAUACAGUAUUUUUUUUUAUCAGCAUUUCUCCAAUUUUGUGAGUUAAGCAGCCUAACUUGAUGCAGCAUAUAAACUCUCAUUGGUUACUUUUGUGCUUGCUUGCUAGCAGUUUUAUAUUUAGUUUUGUUAUGGAAGCGGAAAAAUUGGCUUUAUUAGUUUCAUAGUUAGGUGUUGGUUGUACUAAUGCCCCUCCUCACAUGGGUAGUGCUUACACCACCAUCGCCGCCGAUGCCAUUGCUCGCUUCCAGGGGCUUCUUCAGGUGUAUGGUGGAAAUCUAGGAUGGUGCUUUAUUGAAGAGGCCUAUUACAAGCUCCUACUGGAGGCCCUACUUAGCAAACAACAAGGUUCUGCAGAAUAUAAGGUGGGAAUGGAACUUACCAAAUAGUUUGGUAAUCUUGGAACUGGGCGUGGGCUUGAAAUGGUUGCUGCCUUUGAAAAAGCUUCCAGCAAGAAAAUUCCAUUAAAAAUGUGUCCCAGAAGACCCGGGGAUGCUACUGCUGUAUAUGCAUCUAUGGACAAGGCUGAGAAAGAACUUGGUUGGAAGCAAAAUACGGUAUAGAGGAAAUGUGCAGGGAUUUAUGGAAUUGGACAAGCAAAAAUCCAUGGGGAUACCAGGGGAAGCAUUAAAUUAAAUUUGGUGCUCGAUCGGUUGUACUUGGAGAUUGCUGGCUAUGCUCUCUGGCACAUGCCGAGAUCAAUCCAUCGAUACUAACCAUGUGUUUGUUUGCCUCUACGUCCAAAUGAAAUGCUUCAAUGCUGAUAUUCCAUACCCCAAUCCCCACCCAAACCUCUCUUGAAUGUACACAACAAACAGUGUAGCGGCUAAAGUGCCAAAUGCAGUGUUAAACGACCACCAGUUGAAGUAUGAAAAUUUUAGCACUUUUUCUUUGGGUCUCAAAAGUUGACAUGUUGGGCUUCAGCACGCCACUGCCAAUGGCUACAUUGUGUGUGCAAUAUGAAGCUGAUUUCAGACCAAACAUGAGCAUUUGUAAAAAGAAGAGGAAAAAACUUUAGCAAGAGUUAUUGAGACUUUAGACAGUAACUUGAUCUUCUUCUCUCUAUACAUGUAUGGAUGUAAUUUUGUGAUCUUAAUGUAUUAAAAAUGGCAUUAGCCAAGAAAAGCUAAGUACAAAUAGCAGUGGAAGUUCUAACGCUAUCUAAUUUAGGCCUACCUAUCAUGGUUGCACAAUAUAGCUCCUGCACAGAAAGUGAUGUCAGUGGCUAAUAGCUAUACCAAUAUGAUGAGAAAUUCACAAUUCA
Molecule: long non-coding RNA, 2128 nt
Organism: Glycine soja
Lineage: Eukaryota; Viridiplantae; Streptophyta; Magnoliopsida; Fabales; Fabaceae
Exons: 8
Source: RefSeq, a predicted model, not a curated record